Molecule: ribosomal RNA, 497 nt
Filed under: uncultured bacterium
Lineage: Bacteria
Description: partial 16S ribosomal RNA
Rfam family: Bacterial small subunit ribosomal RNA
Source: RNAcentral
AUUGAACGCUGGCGGCAUGCCUUACACAUGCAAGUCGAACGGUAACAGGUCUUCGGAUGCUGACGAGUGGCGAACGGGUGAGUAAUACAUCGGAACGUGCCUAGUAGUGGGGGAUAACUACUCGAAAGAGUGGCUAAUACCGCAUGAGAUCUACGGAUGAAAGCAGGGGAUCGCAAGACCUUGUGCUACUAGAGCGGCCGAUGGCAGAUUAGGUAGUUGGUGGGAUAAAGCUUACCUAGCCGACGAUCUGUAGCUGGUCUGAGAGGACGAUCAGCCACACUGGGACUGAGACACGGCCCAGACUCCUACGGGAGGCGGCAGUGGGGAAUUUUGGACAAUGGGCGAAAGCCUGAUCCAGCAAUGCCGCGUGCAGGAUGAAGGCCUUCGGGUUGUAAACUGCUUUUGUACGGAACGAAAAGCCCUGGGUUGAUACCCUGGGGUCAUGACGGUACCGUAAGAAUAAGCACCGGCUAACUACGUGCCAGCCGCCGCCGUAA